This 22-nucleotide microRNA is filed under the name Mus musculus (house mouse). RNAcentral's name for it is "mmu-miR-1907". Lineage: Eukaryota; Metazoa; Chordata; Mammalia; Rodentia; Muridae. The record is from miRBase by way of RNAcentral.
GAGCAGCAGAGGAUCUGGAGGU